This 94-nucleotide transfer RNA is filed under the name Streptomyces lavendulae subsp. lavendulae. Its description in RNAcentral is "tRNA-Ser". The record is from RNAcentral. Lineage: Bacteria; Bacillati; Actinomycetota; Actinomycetes; Kitasatosporales; Streptomycetaceae.
GGGCUGCCGUGGGUGACGGGGGCGCUCCUCGUCUACUACGCCGGGUACGUGUUGCUCGGCGGGGCCCGGCUGGUCACGGCGGCCGGCGGCGCGC